Molecule: ribosomal RNA, 255 nt
Filed under: uncultured bacterium
Lineage: Bacteria
Description: partial 16S ribosomal RNA
Rfam family: Bacterial small subunit ribosomal RNA
Source: RNAcentral
UACAGAGGUCUCAAGCGUUGUUCGGAAUCACUGGGCGUAAAGGGUGUGUAGGCUGCGUGUUAAGUCAGAUGUGAAAAUCCCCGGGGCUCAACCUCGGAACUGCAUCCGAUACUGGCAUGCUAGAGAAUUGGAGAGGAGUCUAGAAUUCACGGUGUAGCAGUGAAAUGCGUAGAUAUCGUGAGGAAUACCAAGUGCGAAGGCAGGACUCUGGACAUUUUCUGACGCUGAGACACGAAGGCCAGGGGAGCAAACGGG